RNAcentral lists this transfer RNA (82 nucleotides) under Faecalibacterium sp. An122. RNAcentral's name for it is "tRNA-Ala". Lineage: Bacteria; Bacillati; Bacillota; Clostridia; Eubacteriales; Oscillospiraceae. The record is from RNAcentral.
GGGGGUGUGUACACAUACCGCUUGGCAGAGCGCUUGAAUGGCAUUCAAGAGGUCAGCGGUUCGAUCCCGCUUAUCUCCACCA